This 939-nucleotide ribosomal RNA is filed under the name Escherichia coli. Its description in RNAcentral is "partial 23S ribosomal RNA". It matches the Rfam family "Bacterial large subunit ribosomal RNA", at positions 2001 to 2925 of the family's 2925-position model. The record is from RNAcentral. Lineage: Bacteria; Pseudomonadati; Pseudomonadota; Gammaproteobacteria; Enterobacterales; Enterobacteriaceae.
GUAAUGAUGGCCAGGCUGUCUCCACCCGAGACUCAGUGAAAUUGAACUCGCUGUGAAGAUGCAGUGUACCCGCGGCAAGACGGAAAGACCCCGUGAACCUUUACUAUAGCUUGACACUGAACAUUGAGCCUUGAUGUGUAGGAUAGGUGGGAGGCUUUGAAGUGUGGACGCCAGUCUGCAUGGAGCCGGCCUUGAAAUACCACCCUUUAAUGUUUGAUGUUCUAACGUUGGCCCCUGACCGGGGUUGCGGACAGUGUCUGGUGGGUAGUUUGACUGGGGCGGUCUCCUCCUAAAGAGUAACGGAGGAGCACGAAGGUUGGCUAAUCCUGGUCGGACAUCAGGAGGUUAGUGCAAUGGCAUAAGCCAGCUUGACUGCGAGCGUGACGGCGCGAGCAGGUGCGAAAGCAGGUCAUAGUGAUCCGGUGGUUCUGAAUGGAAGGGCCAUCGCUCAACGGAUAAAAGGUACUCCGGGGAUAACAGGCUGAUACCGCCCAAGAGUUCAUAUCGACGGCGGUGUUUGGCACCUCGAUGUCGGCUCAUCACAUCCUGGGGCUGAAGUAGGUCCCAAGGGUAUGGCUGUUCGCCAUUUAAAGUGGUACGCGAGCUGGGUUUAGAACGUCGUGAGACAGUUCGGUCCCUAUCUGCCGUGGGCGCUGGAGAACUGAGGGGGGCUGCUCCUAGUACGAGAGGACCGGAGUGGACGCAUCACUGGUGUUCGGGUUGUCAUGCCAAUGGCACUGCCCGGUAGCUAAAUGCGGAAGAGAUAAGUGCUGAAAGCAUCUAAGCACGAAACUUGCCCCGAGAUGAGUUCUCCCUGACUCCUUGAGAGUCCUGAAGGAACGUUGAAGACGACGACGUUGAUAGGCCGGGUGUGUAAGCGCAGCGAUGCGUUGAGCUAACCGGUACUAAUGAACCGUGAGGCUUAACCUUACAACGCCG